Molecule: long non-coding RNA, 2550 nt
Organism: Bos taurus (domestic cattle)
Lineage: Eukaryota; Metazoa; Chordata; Mammalia; Artiodactyla; Bovidae
Source: Ensembl
AACUAAGAGUGUGCGGUGUGUGUGUGCGUGGGGGGUGGGGGAAUGAAACUCUGUCCAUUCUUAGGUUUGUAACAGCCUCAAAAUUACGGAAUCUAUUUAAGGUAAACCUGAUGCUGCCCAUUGUCCAAUGCCUAACACAAAUCAAGCUUAUGGAAAAAGAAUAUUAAAAUUUCCACGUUUUCCCUCGGGUCUGGAACCCCAGGAUUCAAGGGAGAAUUAAACAUUUUCCUCUCCCAUUCCCUUUCUCUUCCGAAGUCCGUAAAUGACAACGUGUUUACACAAGUUUUUAUGUCGUCUGAGCUUCGCCCCGGCCCCGCUUCCUCCUCUGUGUAUGUUCCGCGCAGAGAGAUGUCUGCUUCAGGACGCGUUCAACCUAAACAGAACCCCGUCUGAUUGGAAAAUGUAUUUAUUUGAAAAAUCGUAACUCACAGCUUUGGUGAAAACGGCCCCCAAAUUUAUGGGAUGGCUUGGGGCGCGGCGGUCGUAAAUUAAAAAGCACUGGACAACCCCCUCCCCCAAUCCCCGCAGCGGCACCAGUCAGGUUCUCAGGAGCACCCAGAGACUAGCCCCCUCCCGGCUCCACCCCGCCGCACUCUUCAGCCUCUGCUCCAAUCUCUUGCUGUGGGUAAGUGGCUGUGUUAACAGGCAGGUGGAUUUCAUUCUGGUUCCUUUCACCCAGUCAAGUUAAUUUCAGGGUAGCCUCACUGAGAACGGUUUCAGGUGGUCGGUUAACAGUGAACAGUGUUCUGUUGUGCACCCAUCUGUUUUAGGCAUCUCGGGUUUUCUCUUUAAGUACACGCUGGUAAAUUUCGUGGUAGUGGGCUGCUUGUCCCUAGUCCCCAACCGAGUGAUCAGUGGUGUGCCAGGCUGUCUCAUGCCAAGAGGUUUAUCUCUGGUCAGUGUCAUGAAGGUCAGUUUCAUCGGCGACUGCUGCUGCCCAGGUCUGGGAAAUUUUUUCCUUUCAGUCCAAUCUGAAUUCCCCUGGAGGAUGGAGUCAACACAUUCCGCCUAGUUGCGCGAUCCUUCAGCCAGCCUGCGCCAGCUGAGGACUAGGAUUAGAGGUUGGAACUGCGAGCACGUCCUGGGGAACAGGAGCCGCGGCCGCCAGAGGUGGGGAGCCGCGUAGUCCAGGCGGAGCUGGACUCAUGGGGCCUUCACUCGCAAUCGUCUGCUUCCCCCUGCAAACGCCGGACUGAGCCAUAUCGCUCCGUCUUUUUUUUUUUUCACUAACGAUCAAGCGCCACUUUGGCAGCGUACCCACGGGGAGCAAGGCAAGCUCUCCGCUCCCGGCUUGUCUGUCUAAGCGCUGCUGUCUCGGGCAAACGAGUUUAGCUACUCAAAAUUUGUGCCUUUUGCGCUCGUUUCAAAGGAGCGCUCUGGAGCGCAGGAAGAGCCGCAAAGUAGUGCGGGAAUCCCAGAAUCCGAGGUGGUGCCGUAACUCAUCCCAACCGGUUCUGCCGCGGCCACCUGCCUCGCAGCAAGCCAGUCCGCUGGCACUGAUGUAUACGCAGAAACGUUGGUUGGAAGAAAUGCAAUACCUUUAUUAGGCAGAGAAAGCCCAGCUGGAUUAACCUAGUCUGUUUUGGGAGAUUAAGAACUGGUGUGAGGUAGCAUGGGUCCGAAGUGGUGAGGGGACAGAGGGCUCCUCUUCCACCAGGUUCCCUUAACACGGGGUCUGGGGUGGGAGAAGGGGGACAGCCCUCCUUCCUCAGGCCUGCUUCCUUCCAAUCUAAAAUGGCCUUGCUCUAACGGGUGUUGGGAUCUGCACAUUCUCCUCCGCCCCGGACAGCACUAGAGCCAGAGAUGGACUUUCAGAGCUGCUUGGAGUACGAGGGUUGGAGCAGGGGCCAGAGGACUUACUUGAUGAGUCCUAUCGAGGUAGCUGAGUUUGGGCACUGUGGACUGGGCAGGCGUCUACAGCAGACUCCCUCCGGGGCCUCUCCUGUGCGUCUUUUGGAGACUCGCUCUGCCCUCCCCAUUUAUGAAGCUGCUCACCUGCAGGUCCUUGGCAAGGUGAAUGCAACUCCAUACCACCUGGCGGCUCUCCCUCAUCAGCCCGAGGCAUCCCCCGUCCCUCUGCUGGCCCCCUCUCUAGCUGUCCCACAUGAGUGCCCCCUCCCCGCAGACAGCAGAGCCGUUGCUCCUAUCAAUUCUGAGAGUGAGCUACCCGGCUCAGGCUCGGCUCCCGUUUUCCAGGGUCAAAGCAGUCGGCCAGCACAAAGGUUGCCCUUUAAAUGGGAUGGGCAGAGGUCAAGAAGCAGCCUAUUGUGUACACUGAGAUGUAGGAGAUACAUUUUGAGCUUGAAGAUAUGUUACUCACAGUACCACCCCUCCUAUUUUGAAAUGAAAGAGGAAGUGUCCCCGUUACUCCUUUUUGAAGGGAAGAUUUACAGCACAUCAACCGCUCUCUUAAAAAAUUGCCCCCUUAACCUCAACUACUCUCAGUCCUUUAAAACCCACCCACAGAGGGAUUGAGAACAGCCAGUUUUUGUCCCCUCUGUAAAUUGUGUACCACAGGCUUGCACCUUGCCCUGGAAGUGCCAUCUGUUA